CUAACAAGACCAAACAGAGCAGCACAGGACAUCAGACAGAAAGCGUCUUUGACUCGUCGUCCUCCUCGAGUUCUUUCCUUCCAUAUCCAAGGCAUGGUUGGUGGUUGCUAUGUGCAAUUUGUCAUAAAUCCAAACCAAGGAAGCGACAUGUGAGCUGAUUCAAAUACCAUGGAUCCCGUGGAGAAGGAGAAGUUGGAAGCCUUCAUGGCCAGGGAGACGGAGCAGUGGGAGACCUUCAUAGCUAGGUUUGAGGCUAAUUGUCCUUUGGGUCUCCAACGCAGUCGACAACCACCACCACACCGUCCUAGACGCCAUCACCCUCCACAACCUCAUGCAUCAGCACCACCAACCUCCCCAAGUAAACACACACCAACUGUUCGACGGGGUGCCUCAAUCACCCCGCGGACGCUUCGUUUUCGACGCCAUCCUAGACACAUGACCAAGCCCAGCGGGGUUCUACUGCUGUGAGCCUGACUGCCGUGGAGGUGUCCCCGCUCGCCGUCAACUGCGUUGCAGAUGCCAUCAACCUCACCGACAGCACCACUGCCGCCGAUGGGAGUGGGUCGUGGCGGCACCGACCGAGCAUGUCUACUCCACUCCUGCAACCUCUUCGGCGCUGAGGGUGGGACAUGAAGCAGCCUCCUCCGUCCAUUCAACGACCACUGACGGACGCCACACGUUCGAUGUCGGGCCUUGACGCCAACGCUUGCAGCGACCAUGCCGUGGUUGUGUCCUUGCCCACCAUGACCGCAUUUGAGGCUGUUCCGACGCCUAUGGAGUCCGUUCUGGCCUCCUCGCUGAAGCCGUUCACCGCUACUGCUGCCUCUGCCUUGGCGUGCGCCACGUGUUCGAUGGUGGGCCUCAACGUCAAUGCCAGCGACAACCAUGCUGCCACCGCGUCCCUGCCCAUGAGAGGUGUGUCCAUCGUCGUUCUGACACCUGAAGAGCCCAUGUAAGGCAUGUUCAUGCUGGUGAACAACUACAGCGGCCCCAACUUCAUCCCCCAAUAUCCUGCUCGGCAUGGACACACACCAUCACGCCAAGGAUGAAGAUGAAUCAUUGACAGUGUUCUUGCCAUUGGCACUAGCCGUGAGGGAAGCCUCACUUGCCGCCAAACCACGUCAUGUGCCAUGGCCGUUCUUCAAUUGCGGUGAAGACGGUGUGCAGAUGAAGUGUCCGCAGCCGUCACCCUAGCUAAUGCCUAAUGCUCGUAAUAGGCAGUACGGCGGAGCUGAGGCCGGCAUCUUGGCCGUCAUUUCAGUGUUGUCCAUACUGAUCAGUCUAAAAGAAAUAAAGCUUGGCAGUUUACAACU
Phragmites australis (common reed) is the source of this 1313-nucleotide long non-coding RNA. RefSeq lists it as uncharacterized. The record is from RefSeq and is a predicted model, not a curated record. The transcript has 2 exons. NCBI's taxonomy places the organism in Eukaryota, Viridiplantae, Streptophyta, Magnoliopsida, Poales, Poaceae.